GAAUCUGUCCAUCGGUCGUGCUUCACUGUUCGUACUGGUGUGGUGGGUUCUUACCUUCUGAAUAACCAGCAUGCCAUUCACUUGGUGCGCUGGGGAAGCAGGACUAUUACCUUGAAAAAAUUAGAGUGUUCAAAGCAGGCGCCUCACGCUUGUAUACAUUAGCAUGGAAUAAUGGAAUAGGACUGUGGUCCCGUUUUGUUGGUUUUCAGGACUGCGGUA
RNAcentral lists this ribosomal RNA (219 nucleotides) under uncultured fungus. RNAcentral's name for it is "partial small subunit ribosomal RNA". The stretch from base 48 to 219 matches the Rfam family "Eukaryotic small subunit ribosomal RNA", at positions 693 to 864 of the family's 1831-position model. Lineage: Eukaryota; Fungi. The record is from RNAcentral.